GUGACCUAUGGGCUGAAGAUGGAUGCCCCAACAUUACAGAGGAACUUUGGGUGACUGUCCAGAUGAACACUGGAGAUACCUUACACCAAGUAACAGAAGGAGCUGGUAAGGCUAUACUAAUACAAGCUGAAGUACAAAGGAAACCAAAGACUGGUCUUUGAAGAGUCUGUCUGGUGAAAAAAGUUCUACUACAUCUCAGGUUGAAAACCCUCUUCUUUUCAAACACAACUGCUAACCUUCAAAUUUGAGUUCCUUUCAGUCAUGUUCAACAAUGAAUGGAGAUGAGAAAUACAAAAUGAUGAAAGACACUAAGAAGAGUAUGUGCAUCAAGGUCAGACUGUAGUAGGUCUAGAACAUUUAAGACGGAAAUUAUUUAAUUAAAAAUACCAAACUCUU
Long non-coding RNA from Mesocricetus auratus (golden hamster), 396 nucleotides. RefSeq lists it as uncharacterized. NCBI's taxonomy places the organism in Eukaryota, Metazoa, Chordata, Mammalia, Rodentia, Cricetidae. The record is from RefSeq and is a predicted model, not a curated record. The transcript has 2 exons.